Molecule: long non-coding RNA, 556 nt
Filed under: Medicago truncatula (barrel medic)
Lineage: Eukaryota; Viridiplantae; Streptophyta; Magnoliopsida; Fabales; Fabaceae
Description: long non-coding RNA (MTRU_LNC002999)
Source: RNAcentral
UCUUAACCCCAUUAUUAUUGAUGCAUUCAUAGCUGUCCAUCCACUUCUUUGUUUCAAGUCCCCCACUUCCUAAACCUUACCCCUCUUUUUAUAUAUUCUCCUCCUUUUCCAUUCAUUGUCCACUACUCUCUCAAUUUCUCAUCUUUUCUCUCCUACAAAGUACAAACAUCUCUUCCCUUUCCAAACUCCAAAACCUCUCUCCAUCACAAAAAUGGCUUCCUAUGCAGCAGUACAAGUUUUUCUCAUCUUAGGUCUUCUAGCCACCUCUUGUUUUGCACAAGCACCAGGUGCUGCACCAACACAACCACCAUCAGCAACCCCAACUCCACCAACCCCAGCACCUGUAGCUACUCCACCCACAGCCACUCCACCAACAGCUACUCCUCCAACAGCCACACCACCACCAGCAGCUGCUCCCACUCCAGCCACUCCUGCACCAGCAACUUCCCCUCCAGCACCAACACCUACUUCUGAUGCACCCACUCCAGAUUCUACUUCCUCCUCUCCUCCAGCACCCGGUCCCGGUGGUCCAGCACCCGGUCCCGGCAGUACUGAU